AGCAGUCGCCGCGGUAAUACGAAGGGGGCUAGCGUUGUUCGGAAUUACUGGGCGUAAAGCGCACGUAGGCGGAUAUUUAAGUCAGGGGUGAAAUCCCGCAGCUCAACUGCGGAACUGCCUUUGAUACUGGGUAUCUUGAGUAUGGAAGAGGUUGGUGGAAUUGCGAGUGUAGAGGUGAAAUUCGUAGAUAUUCGCAGGAACACCAGUGGCGAAGGCGGCUAACUGGUCCAUAACUGACGCUGAGGUGCGAAAGCGUGGGGAGCAAACACGAUUAGAUACCCCUGUAGUCCCUGUCUCUUAUAC
This 303-nucleotide ribosomal RNA is filed under the name uncultured bacterium. Its description in RNAcentral is "partial 16S ribosomal RNA". It matches the Rfam family "Bacterial small subunit ribosomal RNA", at positions 507 to 807 of the family's 1533-position model. The record is from RNAcentral.